Molecule: non-coding RNA, 4988 nt
Organism: Doryrhamphus excisus (bluestripe pipefish)
Lineage: Eukaryota; Metazoa; Chordata; Actinopteri; Syngnathiformes; Syngnathidae
Source: RefSeq, a predicted model, not a curated record
GGUCAGUAAACGCUCCACAGUGAGCGCUGUUGCGUCGGUGGAGAUGUUGUUAACUACUGUUUUCUGACCUCUCUGACGCUUUCUUGAGCCUCACCCACCAUCUCCCCGGGUUGAUGCUGUGCGGCAGUGCAUAGAGGGACUCAACACAGCCAUCAUCUAAACUUAAGAAGCCAAAACUUACCACUUCCACACGGGAUGGGAGGAUAUCUUUUUUCCCAUGACUGACAUCCUGCAGUGCUAAGGUCCUGCUGUAGGCUACGGCUUGCCCAAAUAAAGAGCAACUUCUUCAAGGAAGCUGAAGUGCCUCUGCCUGUCAAGCUCACCACAAUAUGCAGCUAUAACGGCUUUUGAAAAGACUUUGUAGGAGAUUGUGGAGUGCGUUUAAUCAUUAUGAAGACAUUCCACUUGGCAGAAGAGCAGCAAACAUGUCUUUAAACAAGUAGAUAAGAGACCCGCAGGUAAGUGUGUGUGCAUGGACGCAUGGGGGCAGCUUGCUUUGAUUACAUAAUGACAUCAAGCAUUGCUUUGUUAUUCAUGGGGUCUCCACAACAACUGAACCCAGUAGGAGUGAAAGUGUAGCCUCAGCAGCACUUUGCUUUGAGUGGGACGCCUCUAUCCCUCCAUUGUCUUCUCGCGUGGACGACAGAAUGAAUCAGCGUUCGAUUAGACUUUCAUGAGAGAACCCACGGCUUUUAUUUCCUAUGCAUCACCUCUGCGGUCAGAGAGGUAGACGCAAAGCGUGAUGUAUCGCCCAAAAACCCACACAAAUGCAUUAUGGCGAGGUCUUACAGCUACUUAUCAGGGGACAAAAUGAGUUUAGAGCAAAGAUGGACGCCCCGCGGUGGAGAGAGAAUUGAGUGUUCUGUGUAUUUGGUAUUCAUUCUACCUGCUGAAACACUUGAAAUAUUGCUUGCCAGACACAGUAGUUAGCUAGAUAGCCUAUUUCAGUGUUUGGUGAUGAAGUUUGACAAUUCUCAUCAACAGCUAGCUAGGGAGCUUGUUAGCUAUUUACAUAGUUAGCUAGAUAGCAAUAGUAAUAGAUGGCUACUAAGAUAGAAACCCAUAUAGCUACCCCAUUUUGUUGUUUUGGGAAUUAUGUAAUAAUUGACAUUAAGUCAAUUUAAAUAGCAUUUAGACAACGACUGUAGCUAGGUAGCUAGCUUUACGGUAUGGAUCAACAACGUAGCUGGUUAGCAACUUGGAUAAAUAGUUAGAGCCCUCUAGGAAAUAAAUAACAACCCUAUAGUCACCUUUACACUUAUAUUGCACUGGAUAAGUAAUGCACUGUAUUUGCGCUUGUUCACCCUUUUCCUUUUCAUUCAUCUCACAGAAACACAUACAGUCGUCCCCAUUUAUCACAGAUGGUGAAUUUCAGCAAACAACGAUUCUAUAUUAAUAAUAUUUUUGUAGCUACAGCAUCAUUGCAGGCACACAAGAAGAGUUCAAAAAGAGGUGUCAGUCUCAUUCAUUAGUUUAUUUAGAUAACGUUUCGGUCCGUUUGACCUUCAUCAGACAUAUUAUUAAUGUAAUAUUAUUGUAAUUAUUAAUGUAAUAUUAUUACCCAUCUCCGCCCUACACACAUAUAUGUAUGUCCCCGAUGGGUGCAGGCAACCAAUCCGGGGACUUAGGGGGCGACCUGUUUUGAUGAGUAUCACCUGUCGAAGAGCAAUAACAUUCAUUUAACAGGUGUACAGAUUUUAACAUAAUAUGAAAAACAUUUUUUUUACAUAAUUCAAUUCAAACACAACACAUGAACACAUGUACAAAUAGGGGCAACCAUGCCAAUGAUUUCAAAACAGUUGAUGAACAGCAGAUGAAAUUAUUUAAAUAAAAAAGCAGCAAAUACUUUUAUAGAAAGAGGAGGGGGGAGGAAAGAAAACCCAAGCAACUGAAGAAAACACAUUUGGUAUUAAUUCUACCUGCUGAAACACUUGAAAUAUUGCUUGCCAGACACAGUAGUUAGCUAGCUAGAGCUUGUUAGCUAUUUACAUAGUUAGCUAGAUAGCAAUAGUAAUAGAUGGCUACUAAAAUAGAAACCCAUAUAGCUACCCCAUUUUGCUGUUUUGGGAAUUAUGUAAUAAUUGACAUUAAGUCAAUUUAAAUAGCAUUUAGACAACUACUGUAGCUAGGUAGCUAGCUUUACGGUAUGAGUCAACAAUGUAGCUGGUUAGCAACUUGGAUAAAUAGUUAAAUAGCGAGCUUGGUGGCUAGCUCACCAUUUGAGUGUGUUGUGAAUUAGGUUAGCAAAUGUGUACAAUAUAGAGAUGAUGGUUUUGCAAAACAAGGAACAAGAGGGGGGGCAUAAGUGCAGUGUGAGGAAAAAGGCCAAGCAGGGAGCCAUAAACUGCAUUUAUAAACAUGUCGCUAUAGUAACCAAGUAAUAUUUUCACUAUAGCGACAGCCCAGGGGAGGGGAAGGUGACAAAGUGGGUCAGCGUUUAAACAGCAUCGCCACAAUCAGGCUAGUUAUUCACAUUAAAGAAAGACAGAGUAUGAGAGCAAUAUAGUGGUAGUGGUGGAGGGGGGGCAUUAAAAUAAAUGAGGCAGAGGAUGUAACUUGUGAGGUUUCUAUUUUUUUUUUCCCAAACACACACAGAAAACCACGCACAGUACCCACUGUCAUUCUGUGAUUGGUCCUUGUUUGUGUGAUUACAUCCUUUCCAGGGUGCUCAGAGUUCCAUCCCGCCCUUGCAACACUGUUGGCGAGGUAACGACCAAAUAAGGUGUGAUUGAACACGGAAGGUAGAGGUCAUUUAGCCUGUACUGCUACAGGUACGUGCUUCACAUACAGUGUGCCUCUUAUCCACGUACGGACUGUGUACCCUUUAGCUGAGUGAUUGCACACAGAGGCAAUCAUGCGUGUAUGUGCGCAUGUCCCACUUAUGUUGUUGUUUUUAUUGCCAUUAUGAAGGUGGUGCACCAACCUUGCCAGCUCUGCUAAGCAGCCAUUAAUGUAACUACUUUGUAACUAUAUUGCUGCACAGACAAUCCCGACAAAGCUUUGCCCCCCCACCGAUGCCACCCACCUUGCUCCAGAUCCCCCCACUCCCUUCCUGUUAGUCCCUCAGUCUCACCUGACGGGACUGCAGAUAGAAGGCUCACGCAGCCCGUGGCACCAGCAGGGCCAGAGCCAGGUGGGGUCCCUCACAGGGACUCAACAGACCGUGCACGUUUGACUCGGUGAAACAGUGCAAACUGCAGAAUUCAUCACACGCCCAGCACUACUAGCAGGCCAGCUGAGGCCCACUUGUCCCCUUACCACAUCCAACAACAAAAGAACAACCUGUCCACCACAGGAUCCAGUCAGGAUUACAACAAUGUACACACUGUACUAGACACAUUUUUAUAUUGCAUGUAGACAGACGUGUACGUGUGAGUGGACAAACAUAUGUUAAUAUUAUGUGUGUUAUGUACAUGCGGAGACUGACUUACAUUGCAUAUGUGUGUGUGUGUGUGUGUAACUGAACAUUUAUAUAAUGCAUGUAUGUGAAUGGACCGUCAUUAUGUUGGCAUGUGAAUGGACAAACACAUUUACACUGUAUUCAAGAAUGGACACACAGAUGCUUACAACAUGUACUGUACAUAAAUGGAUAAAUAUAUGUUUACGUAGUGCACAUACAGUACGGAUAUUUAGAGUACAACUUGUACACGAAGGGACAAAUGUGAAUGGAAUGACAGAUUGUUCACGGACAGACAUUCACAUUUUUUGAGUGUGAGAAUAGACUGACAGAUGUUUGCAUUAUGUCUGAACACCAAGCGUGUCUUUGAAAGGACAAGGAUGCGCUUAUGCGAAUGGACAGACUGACUUACAUUAUGUUUGUGUGUGUGUAAAUUGACAGACAUGUUGCAUGUAGUGUACAUGAAUGGACUGUGAAUUGACAAGAUAUAUAUAUAACAUGUCAGCGACAUAUUUACAAUACAUAUGUGAAUGGACGGACAGAUGUAUGAAAAAUGUAAGUGAAUAGACAUACAUUCACAAUAGGUAAUUCAGUGAGCAUUAUGUGUAUGGAAAGACAAAUGUUGACAUUUUGUGACUAUGAGAAUAGACUAACAAAUGCUUACAUGAUGCAUGUAUGUGAAUGGAUAGACAGGUGAAUGGAGCAGGCGUGUAUUUGAAAGGACAGAAACCUAGCCUUCCUACGGCUCUAGCUACGCCUACUUAAGCACAGCAGCAGCGGCGGACACCGUGUCAUUAGUUUUUCCCUCUUGGCCCCGCCCUCAGUGAGCGAUGGCGACCGUGUCCUCAAGUGAGCGUUAUCUCUACUCUCAUGUGACUCCAGUGUAGUUAAUAACAUGCAAGCCCCGCAUCCUUCAUCGCACUUCCUCAUCUCUUUCUUCCUCACUUUGCCUCUUCCCACCAGCCAUUUAAUUGAUCCCCUUCCUUUCAUUUUUUUUGCUUCCUCUUGCUUUUUUUCCCUCUCCGCCCCCCCCUUCCUUGGCGAUAGAUAACGGUAGCGAGGAAAUGUAUUCCACGGGGAUCCCUUGAGGGGACCGUAAAGAGAUGAAUGCCAAGACGCUAUCACGCAACAUGCAAAUAGAUAUACAGCGCUUAAGUUGGGAAGAGUGAUGCACACGUGCUGCACAUGCAGACUUAUGGGGAUUUUGUAUGUAGCCAGGCAGCUGCUCUACCAAUAUACAUAAUUCAUUGGGAGAUGAAAUAAAGAAAUAUUAUAGAAAAACAAAGGAAAUGGGACGUUCCAGGAAGAUGUAUGGCUUUGGAGCACAGGAGGGUGCAGCGACAAAGUAUCAUUAAUGCAGUCUCACAAGGCUAAUCAGCAUAAAAAUCAUAGGAAUCUACUUUGUAUUCAGUUAUCCUUAUGCUCUACAUCCCUGACACCUACACUACAACCACAGCGUAUUGUUAAGGUUUGGAUUUUAAAUUCCACCCUCGGCCAUCUCUGUGUGGAGUUUGCAUGUUCUCCCCAUGCAUGCGUGGGUUUUCUCCGGGUACUCCGGUUUCCUCCCACAUUCCAAAAACAUGCUAGGUUA